Sphaerodactylus townsendi is the source of this 2379-nucleotide long non-coding RNA. RefSeq lists it as uncharacterized. The record is from RefSeq and is a predicted model, not a curated record. The transcript is spliced from 2 exons. Lineage: Eukaryota; Metazoa; Chordata; Lepidosauria; Squamata; Sphaerodactylidae.
CCCCCCCCCCCCAAGGAUCUUCUCUUGGAAAGGGCUGGCUGCUGGAAUGUGGUGCGGAGGCAAACAGGCAGGUUUGUCUCUGGGGUGCUGGAGAUGUUGGCAUUUGAGGAAUGAGAGCAAGAAUUUCUGCCCUUUGGUCACUUCAAAGUGUAGUGAUCUCUCCUGCAGGGUCCCGGAAGGAGGAGGUGAACGAGCAAGGGAAAGGCCUCACUGUGUCCUUAAACCAUUGGGGUCAGGAAGGCAGGAGUGUGUGUUCUCAUACCAACUGGGGCUGCAAACAUCUUCCCUUCCUUUCUGGUUCUUCUGUUACGUCCAUCCUAAUUGCUCAAAGAGCUGCCUGAAAAUUUGGCCCCCUUUUUGUACCUUUCAUUCUUCUGCCACAAACGGGUAGUCCCUGCAUAACUAUCAAAAGCCUCCUAAUUCUGUAGCUCAUGCACUGCCUUGUUUUGAAUGUGCAGUUCUGUUCCUCUUAUUUCUACACUUUUUGUUCUUUCUGAAAGGGUAGUCACACUUGUUCUCUGAUUCCCAUGGCUACUGCAGUAAUUCCCAGAGUUCACUGCUUCCGAAGCCAGGAGCUCACAUCAAUGCGUUGGCAGCCUAGCAUUUUGGAUUCCUCCCCCUUCCGGAGUGUGCAUUGUCUGGACCUAAGGUUACCAAUCCUUGGGUGGGGCCUGCAGCCCUCUAGAGUACUGAAAUCAGUGGCCAUGAGGAAAUGGCAGCUUUUAAAGGACAUAAUGAAUGUAAAAAGUAGGGUAUAGGUGUAGGGUAACCAAGUCAAAAUUAGAGGAUCGCCUUACCCCCCUGGCUCAAAUUCAUAGACUACUUAAAGUAAAGUGCAAGGAAGUAAAAUUCACAGGAAGUCAUCAUAUUUUUCAGCCGUAAGGGGAUCUUGAAGGAUAAGACGUAUUAUGCUACUCCCUUUAAGUAAUUUCGACUGAGGUGUUAUAUUAUUAAAGAAGAAUUAGCAAAAAUGCUUGAAUGUCACAGAGGACGUUCUAUGUUGGCUGCUCUUAUGAGAGUUCCAGGGGUGGCAGUUGACAGAGAACUGCCAAUUUCAUCAAUUGGUUGUGAGUAAUCCCUUUGAGUUGCCCAAACAGGAAAACAGCCUAUUUCGUCCUGUUUGUUCUACAAGGACUGUGCUUCAAUCAGGAGUCCUUUUAUUUGCUUGAAAGGGAGAUUGGGCAAAAUGCCAACUAACUGGGAGAAACUUGAGAAGAUCCACAUGGACGCAAAUUUGGGCUAUACUUCUCCCUCAAUUAUGUAUCUAUAUAUAGGCAUUACUACUCAAGAUUUAGAAGCAAAUAGGAGCAUUUGCCUUUGUUAUUGGGUUUACAUGCAGUUCGCUUUUCAUUGAGCACUUUAUUAAAAUAUCACCUUGCACUUAAAUAGUCUACGAAUUUAGAGCCAGAGGGGUAUGGAGCUUCAAAGGACAGGCACUCUGGUGUCACGUCCACACUGAACUCCCUUCCCAGGCGUGCUGCCCCCAAAUCUCCAGGUACCUCUCCAAACUGCAGCUGGCGACCCUAUCUGGACCACACAUAUUGUGGUGGGCGAGGAGGGAGUGAGAGUGUGUGUGUGUGUGUCAGGCCAUGGAGGCUGAAGCUCAGUGUUCCCCCAAGAGAAGCACUACAUGUGGUUAGACUCCUACUCCAUCCGUGAAUGGUUAGUAGUGGGGACAUUCACUCUGAUGAAUAUGCCUUUAACAGGCUUGUUCAGACUGUUGGUGGCAAUUCAAGUGCUUUUGAUUUUUUUUUUUUUAGUUCCAUAGAACUGGUGGUGUAGAGCACAGGCUGCAGGAGUCCUGGGCGUCUAUCCCCACAUAGUCAUGUGUCUGAGUGGUCUUGGGGCAGUGACUCUCUCUUAGCUUAACUUCCUUUGCAGGGUUUGUUUGAGGUGAAAGUGAAGGGAGAGCCACGCAUGCUGCUGUCAGCUCCUUGGAAAAGGGGCAGGAUAAAAUGUGAGAGGCAAUUAGAAUGUGAUUUUUUUAAAAAAAGAUCUCCGCAUACAUGGGAGCUCUUUGUCCACCUGCCAGCAGAACCUCUCAAGGGAAGGCAGAGUGAUGGACCAUUUUGAUAAUCUGCUCCGUGACUGGCUGUCAGGUUUGCUCCAUGCGGUCAUCAUGGAAGGCUGGAGUGCAGAGAUUGGCUUUAGCUACUGCAUCACUAGCGCUCUGCCUGCAGUUAGUAGCUGAUUCUUGGUCAGCAGGAACUCCUCUUCCGUGCGCACACCCUGUCAUAUAUUCCUGCAUUAGUGCAUGCGUCUGCUGCAAUGUGUAUUUUGCCCCACGUGCGCGGAAGAAGAUACCUGCUGUGUCAGGCCAAUAGCCAUACAGUCCAGCAUCCUGCAAUACCGAUAAGAAUCUACAAACCAUCAACAGGG